This 110-nucleotide Y RNA is filed under the name Carlito syrichta (Philippine tarsier). RNAcentral describes it as "Y RNA (ENSTSYG00000026069.1)". It matches the Rfam family "Y RNA". Rfam says of the family: Y RNAs are components of the Ro ribonucleoprotein particle (Ro RNP), in association with Ro60 and La proteins. Lineage: Eukaryota; Metazoa; Chordata; Mammalia; Primates; Tarsiidae. The record is from Rfam by way of RNAcentral.
AGCUGGUCUGUAGGUAGUAUGUUAUCUCAGUUGAUUGUUCAGUCAGUUACAGAUUGAACUCCUUGUUCUACUCUUUCCCCCUUCUCAAUGCUGCACUUGACUAGUCUUAA